This is a small nuclear RNA of Hyaena hyaena (striped hyena), 107 nucleotides long. The record is from RefSeq and is a predicted model, not a curated record. Lineage: Eukaryota; Metazoa; Chordata; Mammalia; Carnivora; Hyaenidae.
UUGCUCGCUUUGGCAGCACAUAUACUAAAACUGGACCAGUACAGAGAAGAUUAGCAUGGCCCCUGCCCAAGGAUGACAUGUAAAUUAGUCACAUACACAGAUCAAUU